UCUGCUAGAAAUCUCAGUUGUUUUCUCGAGAUCAUGAAAUAAUUAUCACGGAAUAAAAGUGUUGUUUUCUCGAGAUCUCUAAUUAAUUAUGUCGUUAUCUCGGGAUAACAAGGUGAAUUAAAAAAGAUUAUAUGA
Long non-coding RNA from Thalassophryne amazonica, 135 nucleotides. RefSeq lists it as uncharacterized. Lineage: Eukaryota; Metazoa; Chordata; Actinopteri; Batrachoidiformes; Batrachoididae. The transcript is spliced from 2 exons. The record is from RefSeq and is a predicted model, not a curated record.